AUGGUUGUCCGGGUGCUGCUCCUCUGCCUGCUGACCUUUCCAAGCUGUGUCCUGUCCCAGGUGCAGCUGAAGGAGUCAGGACCUGGCCUGGAACAGCUCGCACAGACCCUGUCUCUCACCUGCACUGUCUCUGGGUUCUUAUUAACCAGCAAUAGUGUGAGCUGGGUCAGCCAGCCUCCAGGAAAGAGUCUAGAGCAUAUGGGAGCAAUAUGGAGUGGUGGAAGCACUAAUUAUAAUUCAGCUCUCCAAUCCCGAAUCAGCAUCAGCAGGGACACCUCCAAGAGCCAAGUUUUCUUUAAUAUGAACUAUCUGCAAACUGAAGACACAGCCAUGCAUUACUGUGGCAGAGACACAGUGAGGGAACUCCAGUGUCAGCAUGCACAGAAACCUCCCUGUAGAGACAUACAGAACAACCAGGGGGUGCUGAAGAACAACAGUGUCAUCGCAGGACCUGAGCUGCCAUGUAAGCUGAUCCUCACUCUGACACUGAAUAACAUGAAGGUGGACCCUUUGUGUUCAGCAUUGCUUGGAGUUGUUCACUUCACUGGCAUGUCUACUCCUCUGAUAAUUCGAGGAAUCUAG
Molecule: non-coding RNA, 582 nt
Organism: Mesocricetus auratus (golden hamster)
Lineage: Eukaryota; Metazoa; Chordata; Mammalia; Rodentia; Cricetidae
Source: the annotation of a RefSeq genome assembly